GAUAAGGAACUAUAUCAUUUAAAGAAUAAACUUGGAUGGUUUCUUGUUGAUAUUGGGGAAUAGGACGCAGCUAUAGAAAUAUUAGAAGUUUUAUUGGACCAAUUGGAAAAUGAGUUUGGUAAUGCAUCCAGGGAAUCGGCGGAUCCGUUAUAUGCUAUGCUCACUCUUUGCUAUAGAAGGGGUAUGAAGUUUGUGUAUGGUAAUAAUCCUCUAACUAGAAGUAAUCGUCAAACAGGAAUUGUAUACAGUAGGUGUUACGAGGUGUUCACCAAACAUUUCGACAAGACUGAUAAUAAACUUGGAGAAGUGCUGUCGAUUGCUGGAUACUUUAAUAAAGAAUAUCUGGAAGAAGCUGAACAUAUCUUCAAGAAAAACAACAAUGGUGGGGGCUUGGCUGUCGUCUAUUUUAUGCUGGGAGGGAAAAACCAA
This is a long non-coding RNA of Patella vulgata (common limpet), 429 nucleotides long. RefSeq lists it as uncharacterized. The transcript has 3 exons. The record is from RefSeq and is a predicted model, not a curated record. Lineage: Eukaryota; Metazoa; Mollusca; Gastropoda; Patellidae.